This 1449-nucleotide ribosomal RNA is filed under the name metagenome. Its description in RNAcentral is "bacterial SSU rRNA". It matches the Rfam family "Bacterial small subunit ribosomal RNA". The record is from RNAcentral.
UGAAUGGAAGGCGCUGGAUAGCGGCAAACGGGUGAGGAAUACGUGAGCAAUUUUCCUUAAAGUCGAAUAUAGCUUCGUGAAAACGGAGGUAAUAUUCGAUGUGGUCCAGACAUCGCAUGAUGUUUGGAUUAAAGGUGGGGACCUUCGGGCCUACCGCUUUUUGAUGAGCUCGCGUCCUAUCAGCUUGUUGGUGAGGUAAUGGCUCACCAAGGCAUUUGAUGGGUAGUUGGUCUGAGAGGAUGGUUAGCCACACUGGGACUGAGACACUGCCCAGACUCCUACGGGAGGCUGCAGUCGAGAAUCUUUAGCAAUGGACGAAAGUCUGACUAAGCGACGCCGCGUGCAGGAUGAAGGUUUUCGGAUCGUAAACUGCUUUUGUCUGGAAAGAACCCUUUGUCACUAAUAUUGGCAAAGCUGACGGUACCAGACGAAUAAGCCACGGCCAACUCCGUGCCAGCAGUUGUGGUAAUACGGAGGUGGCGAGCGUUACUCGGAAUUAUUGGGUGUAAAGGGCAAGUAGGCGGUUUAGCAAGUGAGAGGUGAAAUCUCCCGAUUUAAUCGGGAAAUUGCCUUUCAAACUGCUAGACUUGAGAAUGGAAGAGGGAAACGGAAUUAGCAGUGUAAGGGUGAAAUUUGUAGAUAUUGUUAAAUAUUAGUGGUGAAGGUGGUUUCCUGGUCCAUUUCUGACGCUGAUUUGCGAAAGCUAGGGUAGCGAACAGAAUUAGAUAUUCUGGUAGUCCUAGCUGUAAACGAUGAGCACUAGGUGUCGGUCCUUUUUGGGGCGGUGCCGCAGCUAAUGCAUUAAGUGCUCCACCUGGGGACUACGGCCGCAAGGCUAAAAUUUAAAGGAAUUGACGGGGACCCGCACAAGCGGUGGAACAUGUGGUUUAAUUCGAUGCUAUGCGAAGAAUUUUACCAGGGCUUGACAUGUAGGCAGUAGUGAACUGAAAGGGGAAUGAUCCGUUAAGUUCGGAAACCUACACAGGUGCUGCAUGGCUGUCGUCAGCUCGUUUCGUGAGAUGUUGGGUUAAGUCCCGCAACGAGCGCAACCAUUGUCCCAUGUUGCCACCCUCAAUAGCUAGCUUGCUAGUUUUGAGGCGCAUUUUUGGGGGACUGCCUGGGAUAACCAGGAGGAAGGUGGAGAUGACGUCAAGUCAGUACGGCCUUUAUGCCCUGGGCUACACACGUGUUACAAUGGGUGGUACAAAGGGUUGCCAACCCGCGAGGGGGAGUUAAUCUCAAAAAACCAUCCUCAGUUCGGAUUGGAGUCUGCAAUUUGACUCCAUGAAGCUGGAAUCGCUAGUAAUGGAAGAGCAGCUCGUUUCCGUGAAUACGUUCCCGGGUCUUGUACACACCGCCCGUCAAGCGAUGAAAGCCGGGGGUACCCGAAGUCCUAUGUAGAUAGGCCGAAGGUAAAUCUGGUGAUUGGCGCUAAGUCGUAACAAGGUA